GUUUACCGAGCUUUUCUUGCUAGCUCUGAGGUUGAACAGAUCUUUGAUGGGAGCAGGAACUCACUGUCUGGAAUUGAUGUAAUGCGUAAAAUUUGCAACCAUCCCGAUCUUCUUGAAAGAGAACACUCCAGUACAGAUCCAGAUUACGGGAACCCUGAACGCAGUGGAAAAAUGAAAGUUGUUGCAGAAGUGCUUAAGGUAUGGAAGGAACAGGGGCACCGUGUUCUCCUUUUUUCUCAAACUCAACAGAUGCUUGAUAUUCUUGAGAGAUUUCUGGUUACUUGUGAGUACAAUUAUAGACGAAUGGAUGGUGUCACUCCUGUAAAGCAGAGGAUGGUUUUGAUAGAUGAAUUUAACAAUACAGAUGAUAUUUUUAUCUUCAUCUUGACAACAAAAGUUGGUGGUCUGGGGACAAACUUGACUGGGGCUA
RNAcentral lists this unclassified non-coding RNA (430 nucleotides) under Hevea brasiliensis (rubber tree). Lineage: Eukaryota; Viridiplantae; Streptophyta; Magnoliopsida; Malpighiales; Euphorbiaceae. The record is from RNAcentral.